CCUUUCUUUGUCUUUUUCAAGUAUAAAGGUGGUAAUAGUGGAGGAUUCUGUGACUUCGGCCAUAAAUCAGGACCAUUCAUAGGCAAUAUUGGAACUUCAUAAAUUUUUUGAUAUGUCUCGACCUUGUAACAAUCAUCGACAUAGUUUAAAACUUCAUCAUUUUUCAACCAAAUAGAUGAUAUAGCAUGCUUACAAGGGAUACCCGAAAGUUCCCAUUGCCUACAACUACAUGUCCUGUUAUAUAAAUCAACAGCCCAAGUAUCACCUUCAACAGGUCCAAUCACUUCAUAGUUCCACAUAUUCGACUUUUUAGG
RNAcentral lists this long non-coding RNA (314 nucleotides) under Solanum tuberosum (potato). RNAcentral's name for it is "long non-coding RNA (STUB_LNC003161)". Lineage: Eukaryota; Viridiplantae; Streptophyta; Magnoliopsida; Solanales; Solanaceae. The record is from RNAcentral.